GACGAACGCUGGCGGCGUGCCUAAUACAUGCAAGUUGAGCGAUGAAGCUUGGUGCUUGCACCAAUUUGAAGAGCAGCGAACGGGUGAGUAACGCGUGGGGAAUCUGCCUUUGAGCGGGGGACAACAUUUGGAAACGAAUGCUAAUACCGCAUAAUAACUUUAAACAUAAGUUUUAAGUUUGAAAGAUGCAAUUGCAUCACUCAAAGAUGAUCCCGCGUUGUAUUAGCUAGUUGGUGAGGUAAAGGCUCACCAAGGCGAUGAUACAUAGCCGACCUGAGAGGGUGAUCGGCCACAUUGGGACUGGGACACGGCUCAAACUCCUACGGGAGGCAGCAGUAGGGAAUCUUCGGCAAUGGACGAAAGUCUGACCGAGCAACGCCGCGUGAGUGAAGAAGGUUUUCGGAUCGUAAAACUCUGUUGGUAGAGAAGAACGUUGGUGAGAGUGGAAAGCUCAUCAAGUGACGGUAACUACCCAGAAAGGGACGGCUAACUACGUG
RNAcentral lists this ribosomal RNA (497 nucleotides) under uncultured bacterium. RNAcentral describes it as "partial 16S ribosomal RNA". It matches the Rfam family "Bacterial small subunit ribosomal RNA", at positions 28 to 507 of the family's 1533-position model. The record is from RNAcentral.